This is a long non-coding RNA of Tribolium castaneum (red flour beetle), 1543 nucleotides long. RefSeq lists it as uncharacterized. The transcript has 3 exons. Lineage: Eukaryota; Metazoa; Arthropoda; Insecta; Coleoptera; Tenebrionidae. The record is from RefSeq and is a predicted model, not a curated record.
UUGAAGUAAAAGGUGGAACUUGUUAAAACUUUUUAAACCACAAAACCGAAGAAUAAGGCAAUGUGCAACGACUUCUGAUUAAUUUACUUUUUGUUUACACAUGACGGACGGGACAAAAAAAGUUGUGUGUAAAAUAAGCUCUAAAAAAUCUAUUCAGACAGGUUUUAAUUAUUAAAGACUUUAACAAUAUUAAAAUUAGACAGUAGAAAUGUAAAAUUCUUAGUUUUAUGUAACAACGUAAGAAAUAAGAUCAACAUUUUAUGUUUGAAACAACGGACUUGACAUAGUGUAAUUAAAACAAAUAAUCUCUUCCCCCACUAACUCUUUAAGUUUUGACUCAUUCUAGCUAGUUAGGUACUGAGAGUCAGUCCUGCUUUCGUUGCGGGAAAUAAUGUUACGUGCCAAUAAUUUACGAAUUUUUGUUAUUGUUUUUACAAUUUUAAACAUCGCCUACAAUCAACAACUUAUAGAAAAGCAAAAAGAACACCAAAAAACGAAAAGACAGCCAGGUGAAAUCAGUAAACAAAAAUGCAAAGAAUAUUUUACAUAUAAACUACGGCUAGUUUUAAUUACGGAUCCUCCACCACGAAUACUUACCCGUACUGUUAAUAGGGAAUUUGUAGACAGGAAACAUUUGGGACACAUGGUGAGUUUUUUAAUUAAUUCUCAAUGGUGUCACAAUGAGUUGAAAAACUACAUUGACCUUGAAAUUAAUUGGAAAAUAUGUAUUUUUUUACAAAAGCCCCCUGACAUAACCUAAAAUUAUUUUCAAACGUACAGUGUUUCAGAAAUGACUGAAAUGAACUGCAAUACAAACUUAUGUUUUUUUUAAAGGUUCACCCUAAAUAUUAUUGCAUUUUUGGAUGUAGCUUUCAAAAACUUGUAUUGGUCGAUUCUGCUUAGUUUUGAAAUAAUUUGACAUUUUGACAAAAACACGCUUUUUAAAAAUUAUUAUACAAGACCUAGGAAUUCCAGAAAAGUAGGACUUGCAAAACUCUAAAACGUAAAGUUCAAACUUAAAUGCAAUUAGGAACGUAAAAAAUUAAGAAGUAUGUUAAAAGAAUUAAAUGAAACACCCUCUUUUUUGUUUUUGUUUCUUAGAGAUUAUCAAAUUGCCUUUCUAAAUACAUCAAGUCUCAAAUGUUAACAUUGCUAAAUGACACGAACGAAAUGAGUUAUGAAAAUGUGUCACAUAUUGCGAGCCACACAAGCCCUUAGACACUUACUUCCCCAAUUUAAAUAAAACCACCAACUUAAUAAUUUUUGGUACUUACUAUUAGAUGAAAAUUUCACUUAAAUAUUAACUAUAAUAUGUAGUUAAUAUUUGUUUUAAUAUUUAAAGUUACAUAUAUUUUGAGUAAUCAAAAGAGACUAUUAAUGUUUUAGGGCCGUUUUUACAAUCGUCCGAUAAACUCCGGAUCCAUGGUAUAAACUUAUACUAGGAAUAAUGGGCAGAUAACGGGCCGAUAUCUAUCAGAUAACUUUUGUCUGUUUUACAAUACAAAUAAUUUAUCCAUGGAAUAAAUGUGACUUUUGAGUAUUA